GGCGGGGGCAAGCGUUCGGCGUGGGGCCGGUUUCCAACCGGCCUGCCUGGGCAAGGCCGGUUGGAAACCAGCCCCACGUCA
RNAcentral lists this transfer RNA (81 nucleotides) under Urbifossiella limnaea. Its description in RNAcentral is "Planctomycetes bacterium ETA_A1 tRNA-Gly". Lineage: Bacteria; Pseudomonadati; Planctomycetota; Planctomycetia; Gemmatales; Gemmataceae. The record is from RNAcentral.